UACGGAGGGUGCAAGCGUUGUUCGGAUUUAUUGGGCGUAAAGCGCGUGUAGGCGGUUUCUUAAGUCUGAUGUGAAAGCCCUGGGCUCAACCCAGGAAGUGCAUUGGAUACUGGGAAACUUGAAUACGGGAGAGGGUAGUGGAAUUCCUAGUGUAGGAGUGAAAUCCGUAGAUAUUAGGAGGAACACCGGUGGCGAAGGCGGCUACCUGGACCGAUAUUGACGCUGAGAGACGAAAGCUAGGGGAGCGAAUGGG
RNAcentral lists this ribosomal RNA (253 nucleotides) under uncultured bacterium. RNAcentral describes it as "partial 16S ribosomal RNA". It matches the Rfam family "Bacterial small subunit ribosomal RNA", at positions 524 to 776 of the family's 1533-position model. The record is from RNAcentral.